This 744-nucleotide non-coding RNA is filed under the name Trichomonas vaginalis G3. RNAcentral's name for it is "Eukaryotic small subunit ribosomal RNA". It matches the Rfam family "Eukaryotic small subunit ribosomal RNA", at positions 1029 to 1831 of the family's 1831-position model. Lineage: Eukaryota; Parabasalia; Trichomonadida; Trichomonadidae. The record is from Rfam by way of RNAcentral.
UCCUUAAACGAUGCCGACAGGAGUUUGUCAUUUGUUAAUGGCAGAAAUCUUUGGAGAAAAUCAUAGUUCUUGGGCUCUGGGGGGAACUACGACCGCAAGGCUGAAACUUGAAGGAAUUGACGGAAGGGCACACCAGGGGUGGAGCCUGUGGCUUAAUUUGAAUCAACACGGGGAAACUUACCAGGACCAGAUGUUUUUUAUGACUGACAGGCUUCGGGUCUUUCAGGAUAUUGUUUUUGGUGGUGCAUGGCCGUUGGUGGUGCGUGGGUUGACCUGUCUAGCGUUGAUUCAGCUAACGAGCGAGAUUAUCGCCAAUUAUUUACUUUGCCGAAGUCCUUCGGUUAAAGUUCUAAUUGGGACUCCCUGCGAUUUUAGCAGGUGGAAGAGGGUAGCAAUAACAGGUCCGUGAUGCCCUUUAGAUGCUCUGGGCUGCACGCGUGCUACAAUGUUAGGAUCAAUAGGACUGCGAGCCUGAGAGGGUGCGCUACUCUUAUAAUCCCUAACGUAGUUGGGAUUGACGUUUGUAAUCAGCGUCAUGAACCAGGAAUCCCUUGUAAAUGUGUGUCAACAACGCACGUUGAAUACGUCCCUGCCCUUUGUACACACCGCCCGUCGCUCCUACCGAUUGGAUGACUCGGUGAAAUCACCGGAUGCUUACGAGCAGAAAGUGAUUAAAUCACGUUAUCUAGAGGAAGGAGAAGUCGUAACAAGGUAACGGUAGGUGAACCUGCCGUUGGAUCAGUU